RNAcentral lists this unclassified non-coding RNA (336 nucleotides) under soil metagenome. RNAcentral describes it as "partial contains 5.8S ribosomal RNA, internal transcribed spacer 2, and large subunit ribosomal RNA". The stretch from base 1 to 121 matches the Rfam family "5.8S ribosomal RNA", at positions 35 to 154 of the family's 154-position model. The record is from RNAcentral.
GAUGAAGAACGUAGCGAAAUGCGAUAAGUAAUGCGAAUUGCAGAAUUUCCGUGAGUCAUCGAAUCUUUGAACGCACAUUGCGCCCAUUGGCAUUCCGAUGGGCAUGCCUGUUCGAGCGUCAUUUCAACCAUCAAGCCCCCGGCUUGUGUUGGGGACCUGCGGCUGCCGCAGGCCCUGAAAACCAGUGGCGGGCUCGCUAGUCACUCCGAGCGUAGUAAUACAUCUCGCUCAGGGCGUGCUGCGGGUUCCGGCCGUUAAAAAGCCUUAUUUACCCAAGGUUGACCUCGGAUCAGGUAGGAAGACCCGCUGAACUUAAGCAUAUCAAUAAGCGGAGGA